RNAcentral lists this long non-coding RNA (525 nucleotides) under Amborella trichopoda. RNAcentral describes it as "long non-coding RNA (ATRI_LNC000887)". The record is from RNAcentral. Lineage: Eukaryota; Viridiplantae; Streptophyta; Magnoliopsida; Amborellales; Amborellaceae.
AUGAUGGCAAUUCAAAGACUUAGGCCUUCCAUGCCCAUUCAACCUAGCUCGGACAGAUUGUUCAAAAUAUUGAAAAUAGGCCACCUUCCCUUCCUUGGUCUAGUCAGACAUCCACUGUAGAUCUCUUUUAGAUGUCCUUCGCUUACUUAAGUUAAGGAGGCUUUGCCCGAGAGCCCAUUGCGAGGAAACAAAACAAAAAACCUAUCUUAUCUUGGCCGUAUAGAGGACAAAGUGCCUGCGCUAUCACUCAUUUCUUCUAUUAUAGAUUUGAAAACUGCAACCUGGUGCUUUUUCAAUGUGACCUUCAUUAGAGAAAUUCCUACUUCUUCUUCCUUCAAAGUGGAUCCACUUACAUUGUUAAGCAGAAAAGAAGAGCUAGGGCUUUCCCUUUGAAAGGGCAGAGGCGGUACUCUGAACAAGGUUCUAAAGAGAAAAGGUACACUAUUCACAAAUUGACAGAACUGAUGACGAAGCUCGAUCUCGUAUUGAGAAUCAUAGAAAUAGAGCCAGGAGUUCAGAAAUUGC